UGGGGAAUAUUGGACAAUGGGCGAAAGCCUGAUCCAGCCAUGCCGCGUGUGUGAAGAAGGUCUUCGGAUUGUAAAGCACUUUAAGUUGGGAGGAAGGGCAGUAAGCGAAUACCUUGCUGUUUUGACGUUACCGACAGAAUAAGCACCGGCUAACUCUGUGCCAGCAGCCGCGGUAAUACAGAGGGUGCAAGCGUUAAUCGGAAUUACUGGGCGUACAGCGCGCGUAGGUGGUUCGUUAAGUUGAAUGUGAAAGACCCGGGCUCAACCUGGGAAAUGAAUCGAAAACGGGCGGGAUAGAGGAGGGCAGAGGGUGGUGGAAUAUCCUGUGUAGCGGUGAAAUGCGUAGAUAUAGGAAGGAACACCAGUGGCGAAGGCGACCACCUGGGCUCAUACUGACACUGAGGUGCGAAAGCGUGGGGAGCAAACAGG
Molecule: ribosomal RNA, 429 nt
Filed under: Pseudomonadota bacterium
Lineage: Bacteria; Pseudomonadati; Pseudomonadota
Description: Proteobacteria bacterium partial 16S ribosomal RNA
Rfam family: Bacterial small subunit ribosomal RNA
Source: RNAcentral